UUGAACAUAGAAUCAUAGGACAAGAAGGAUGAGAGUGCAAUCAAUUAACAGAACCAAACUCUGAUGGAUUAAUACCUAGGUGCAAUAGAGAGUUGGUCUAGGAAUUUAGUUGAACAAUAUCUAUCUGAGCGUUAACGCUUGUUUAAAAGAGGUAUCGAUCGACACUCCAUAAGUGUACUGAUCGACACUUUGUUCCGUAUUUACAUGCGAGAGUAUGAAUACAGAUUUAAAGAUGUAGACUCACAGCAGGAGCUGGAUAUCUUACAAUUGAAUUCA
Molecule: long non-coding RNA, 276 nt
Filed under: Brassica napus (rape)
Lineage: Eukaryota; Viridiplantae; Streptophyta; Magnoliopsida; Brassicales; Brassicaceae
Description: long non-coding RNA (BNAP_LNC023367)
Source: RNAcentral